This 15525-nucleotide long non-coding RNA is filed under the name Eutrema salsugineum. Its description in RNAcentral is "long non-coding RNA (ESAL_LNC001712)". The record is from RNAcentral. Lineage: Eukaryota; Viridiplantae; Streptophyta; Magnoliopsida; Brassicales; Brassicaceae.
CAGGUAUUACAUCUCAAACUGUCCACCAAAGGUUGUCCAUUAUACAUCAUCUAUUAUAAGUUGUUCCACCUAAACCUCGUAAAUCAAAAUAUUGUCCAACAAUGCACAACAUGGUACACCAAACAUAGUUCUAGACAGAAUGUAAUUUGGACCACAUCCAUAUGGCCAUAUCUUUUACAUCUAAUUUAUGUCCAUUGAAGUAAGUACAUAUAAAGGCAAACAAAUAAGGAUUGCAUACAUGUAUAUGUGGACAUGUGCAUGUGGACAUGGACAUGUCACUAACCAAAGCGAAACAGAAAAACAAAUCUACGAAAAAACAAUUUAGAAGAAAAAUAUGUAUAGAUUAGUCUCAUCGAUAGCUUAAAUCCACCAUUUUGGUACACUAUGGACGUGGCCACAACGACAGAGAGAUCUGAGAAAAAGAGAGAGAGAAAUCCAAGAAAAAAAUGUGGAGAAGAAGAAGAAGAGAGAUCUGAGAAACAGAGAGAGAGAAAUCCAAGAGUAAGAAAACAAGAUGGAGAAGAGGGAUCUGAGAGAUCUGAGAGGAAUAGAACAAGGUGGAAAAGAGGAAGAAGAGGGAUCUGAGAGAGAAUAAGGAAAAGAAAUGAUGAUAAAUAUUCAUGUCAAAUAAGAGAUUAUGAGGCAGAUCUGAGACAUGGAGGAAAAAAAGAGAGUAUGUGUCGUUCUUUUCUCUCUUUUUUCUGUUUGUUUGUUUUUUAAAAAAAAAUUAACAAGACAAUCUAUUAAGAAAAAAUUUGUUUACAUCAGUUUGGUUUUUCAACAAAAAUAUGUCAUAAGGUUCUUGUUGUCAUAUUAUCUUCAUAAGUCAAAGAAAAGUGUUAUCUUAAACACUAGUGCCAAAAAGUGUAAAUAUAAACUCAAAAGUGUCAAAACGUGUAAACACCUCUAUUUAUAAGUAUAACUACUAUGCAUAGUUAAAUUUGUCUGUGUAUUAUAAUGGAAAAUUUCCAUAAAAAAAUCUUCAAAUAUUUAACCUUGAACUAUUUGCGAUCUUACUUUAAACCUCGAACUUAAUUGUUUUUCCAAUAUAAAUCUUCAAGUCUUAUAAAUUGUGCCUGAGUGAGAGUUAGCCAACAGUCCACUAUAACUGUGCUUAACAAACUAAACUCUUGUUAACAAUAAUAAUUCGUCUGUUAAUUUUUUAAAACACAUGUUUCUUAACUCAAAUGGGUCGGGUUUUUGAGGACUGAAAAUUUGAAGAAAGUGAUUGAAGACUCAAAGAAGGUAACUCAACGAUUUUGUUUCUAGGUUUGGUUUGGAGUUUUUCAAUUUGUUUCAUCCUCGUUUUAUGACUUUCUGGUUUUAUUGGUGAUUUAAGGAUUUUAUGAAUAUAGGUUCAUGAUGUUGUCAUUUGUGUUUAUAAUAUUAUUUGAGAAGGCAACGAGUGGCCUACAAAUAUAAUCAUACCUGCGAUGAAAUUGAUUCGAUGAAAGUAAAGAAUAAGUUAAAAACUUUUUUCUUUAUAGAAGAAGUGAGGCAGUUUUUUUUGUAGAAUAGUUAGAAAAACACAUACAUUUAUAAUAACAUCAAAUAUAUAAUAUAUAUUUUCUCCUGUCUUGGUAUGUGUAUUACUAAAAAAAAAGUGUCAUACCCUUGGUUUUGUUUGGGUUUUAUAUGCCAAGCGUUUCCUCUUUUUUUCUAACAAAAAGACAAAAGAGAAGUUCAUUAUUGUGAUUCAUCCUCAAUAAUUUAUAUGAAACAAAAUUAAGAGGUCCAUCUGCUCCUCUUAAAAUAUGUGUUCUUUUCACUUUCACAUUCAAACCCUCAAGGCUCUGAAUGAAGAAAGUGGAUCAGAGAGUGCGGAUCAAAUGGUUCAAACAGACGGAUCAAAUACAAAUCAGGUGGACCUGGCGGAACAAGUACAGAUCAAGCGGUCCAAAAUAUAUAGUUGAAUGAGAAAGGCGGUAUAUAACAUAUUUUAAUUAAAUAUAAUAAAUACAUGGUUAUAAAUAUGUAUAUCGUACGUAAAAUUAUACAGUUCCAUUGUAACUAAUAUUAAAUAAUGUAAAAAUUAAGCUUUAAGAUCAUUUAUAUUAUUAAAAUCUGAGAAAAUUCAGAAACUGAAUAAUCUGAACCAAACUAAACUAAAUAACAUAUUUAAAUUAGAAUAUUUUUGGUAACUAAAAUCACUAUAAUUAAAAUAAAUUUAAACAAUAAGUUGAAUUCGUGUAGUCUGAAUUUGAAAUAAAUAUAUUUUAUAUAUAUAUGUAUAUUGUUUUCAGAUUUAAAAAAAAAAACAGAUUACCACUUGUAACACUCCUCAGCAUGAGUGGAACUAUUAUUACAAGUGUAACAUAUAUUUUCUUUCCUCGUGAGAGCUAUCACAGUCAACUGAGAAAAUGUUGGUCAUACUUGCACUAUUUAGCUCUGCCUAUUCAGAGCUCACUUUUCUUUGUUUAUUUUUGAUUGGCUUAUUACCAGGUACAUAACAGUCUUCAGCCAUUUUCAUUCAUUGAUUGAUUAAUAUAGGGUACAAAAUUUUCCAAUAGAAAUGCUUGCAUAUAAGAUAUAUCCAUGAAACGCAAGUAGUCUAUCCUUAUUUAUUAAUUUAUAAUAUAAAUAUAAGAAUUGUUUCUGAGUAUAAAAAAUUUAUGAAUGGAGAUAUAUUUGUGUUCUCUCCAUCUUAUGUACAAACCUUUUUUUAAUGUCAUUCCAUUCUUAAAGCUGUGAAUGAGUUUACUGAUGAAAGUAUUUUGGAAUGCUAAAGAGGGAGAAUCGCAUAUAUUUCUCAUAUAUGAUAUGCAAGUGAGUUUUGAAUUUCACAACUUAAAAAAUAAUAAUUAAAUCAUUGAACUACAAGUAGUAUAGAUUUAUGAGUAAAAAAGCAGAUUGGCUCUUUUCUGUGACACUAUCAAAUUGAAGCAGUCAAAACUGGAUCUUGUUUCAAUUAUUCCAUAAAAAUGAAUUUUUUUAAAAAAGUUAUAUAUACAACAAUUUAUACAUGUGUUGGUAAGUGACUAAGUGUUAGAAAAAUAUAAUUAUACUAUUAAUGAUUAAAUUUAAUAUAAAAUUUUGAAUUAAAAUAUAUUAUGGAAAAAUAUCAAUACUUGAUCUCAGCUUUGAAUUUAUUUUAUGUAUAAUAUAUAUAAAUAUUUUCAUAACUAUAUUUCUUUAAUAUAUAUAAAUUAAUAUUUAAUUCAAUCUAUAUUCUAUAUCAUUUUCUUAUUCAAAUAUAUAUUUUGGAUCGCAUGAUCCGUUUGAUCUGCACUUGUUCCAUUAAAUCCACUUGAUCCACACUUGGACUAUUCGAUCCGCUUGAACCGCUUAAUCCACACCACAUGAUCCACUUUAUCUAUUUGGAGCCAUGGAUGGUAUUUUUAUUAUUUUAAUUAUAAACAUAAUUAAAAAAGCGCAGAGUUCAAUUUUAUUAACUCAUAGAGCUAAUUUCUAACAUCUUUUUUUGAAUAUUUGAUAAUUAUGGAAAACUUCGUUAUAUUCAUAUAUAUUUGUCAUAAUAAUUAUAAAUUUAAAUAAUAUUUUUAUUUGAAUACAAAAUCAAGGAAGAUAUCAUUUGAGUUCUAAGAAUAUGUAUUUGAAUCAUUUCAAAUUUCUAAUUUAAAAAAUCUUAAAUAUUUUAAAAAAUUUGUAUAUUAAUUUAAAAUAUGUAAAACAUUUCAGGACUAUUAGAAUUACCUGAAAGUUUUGAAAUAGUAAAAAUUCGUGUAAAUAUUUUGGGUAGUUGAAUUAUAGAAAUAAAUUAUUAUAAAUAUUUUAUAUAUAUAUAUAGUUUUUUAUUUCAAAAAUAUAUCCCAAACUAUUUAAAUGAUUAUAAAUAAGUAUCCAAAUAAUAUAAAAAUAGUUGAUUUGAAUACAAAUAUUACAUGCAGUAAAAAACCACAUAAAAAAGUUCAAAACUGUUUUAAAAUAGACAAAAUUGGCCAAAUUGGUAGUUUUAAGUUUUUAAUUUGCUAAAAAUGUGUAUUUUGAAAAAGUGUAUGUGUUUGGGUAGUUUUUGUGUGUCAAUAACCAUCUUAUCCUCUCAAGUUUAGUUUAUUUCCGUUGUUAUGCCAUUAUGAUAAUCAAUUAAAUAAAACAAAGGGAGAAAGAGAAAACUAAGGGAAAGAGAGAAGUCUUAUAAAAGGAUGAUUAUCCAUCUAAUUUACUUUUACAUGAAGUAAGUUUGAGUUGGUAUCACCAACCUCUCCUACCAACCCCCUUAAGUAGAUAAUAUCUUCUCACUAGUAUAAAUAAGUAUGUAAGCUUAUGAUAAAGAAAUGAGAUGGAGAAUGAAGUGAAUAAUAGAAAUCGGUUUCUCCUCCUUGCUCUCGUCUCUCCCCCCUCUCCACUUACUCUCAAACUCUCUCUCUCUAUAUAUAUAUAAAAUACAUAGAUGGAGAUGUAUAUAUACAAUAAUUCACAACAUAUGGAGAUGUAUAUAUACAAUAAUUUACAACACGUUAUCAGCACGAUCGACUCUUAAUCCAUCAUAUAUUUGGAGGUUAUGUCUUCCUCGAACCGAUCGUUAUGAUAGGCUAUGCCUUCAUGAUCAAUAUGAUCAUAUGGUAGACUAUGUCUCAUCGGAUCAUAAUUAUGGAGUAACAGGUUAAGCUUCCUCCUUGUUUAUAUAUAUGGAAUGGUAGGUUAUACCUCCUCUUUAUUUAAUUUAUGCAAUACAUUUAAAUUUAUUUAUGGAGUAGUAGGUUAUGCCUCCUCCUUGUUUAAUUUUUGUUUAUAUAUUUAAAUUUAUUUAUGGAGUUGUAGGUUGUGCCUCCUCCUUGUUUAAUUUAUGUUUAUAUAUUUAAAUUUAUAUAUGGAGUUGAACUAGAAGCUCCAGAAGAGCUAGAAGCUCCGGAAGAGCUAGAUACUCCAAAAGAGAAAAAUGUUCCACAAGAGCACACGAUGGUACAUGCAUAUAUAUAUGAUAAUAAUAAAAAGAUGGCAAGGGUAUAUACCAUAGUAAACCUGAGGUUUACUAAUUAAAUAAACCGAUUAAGCCAUCUCGGUAGUUCCAAUGAUAUAAGAUCAUUGAGAAUACAUGUUGAAAAACCAGAAGCUUUUUCAACUAUUGCAUGUCAUAAAGAAAGAAAGAAAAAAUGAAGCCAUCUUGAAAAGCAUCCAUGGAUGGAUCACCAUUUCUUUUGGUUUAAAACUCAUCGCAUAUAUAGUUGGUCAUAGAGUGGGAUUCAAUUCAAAAUGGAUAGACCUUGAAAGUGUCAUAAUCUAGAGGGGGAGAAUUCAAGAAUCCCACAUCGAGUGUAAGCUGAACAUCUAGAAGAUUAUGUUCACAAAGAUAAAACAAAUCCAAGGGAUUGUAAAACCAAUUACGGUGGUCUCCAUGUGGUGACAUAAAAUAUGCAGUAUGGCAUAUAGAAAACAGCUGAUGGAUCCUCAUAUGAACCUAAAGUUCAUAUUGAAUGAAAAAACAAAAUCUCACAUCCCAGCUGAGCUCCACUUAAAAUAGAUGUCCUUGAAGGACGGUCUUUUGAGUCUAUGACACGUAGAAACGUGAUAAACUACUUUGGUUCCAAAUCCUCAAAAGAAAAUGAGCAAAGGAGGAUUGAUCUCCUGAAGAGAUUGUUGACAUGGUUUGAAAUAAAAUCACGUACCUGAAUGAAAUCGAUGAUAAGAGAUCUCUAUUCACCAUGUCAUUAUAAAAAAGUGGAACCAAAGAUUAACCUCUAUAGGAAUUAAUCCCUAAAGGAUUAUACUGGAAUUCUGUUCCCGGGAACACUACUCAAUUGAAAUAACGAAUGAUGAUCAUCAAAAUUCCUGAAGAGUUUUCUCGAGUAGUAUAAUAAAGGGGAUUAUUCCAGAGGUGAUAUCUUGAACCGGUAACUGGAGAUAUGUUUACGGCACUUUUUGCCGAUUGCCACUUUGAUGAAAAUGAAUUCCCUACAUUGAGGGAGAGGAUCUAGAGAAUCAACAAAAGAUAGCACAAAAUUUUAUAUAAACUUUGGCUUAUCUCAAUCCUCCUACCAAGAAACGUGAGGUGGAUUUCAUAAAAUUAUACAUUUGCAAAGUUUGCAAACCAGUUCCUUGAUGUGUUCAAAGAUAUAAGAUGGGUGACGAAAUCAUAUAUCCCCGCUGCUAAUGCUCCAUCAAAAGAAAUGUUCCAGAACAAAUUAUUGAUGAGAAUAGAGCAAAUAAACUGCGGGUUCAAUUAAAGUGUGGGAGGCCGAUGGGCUUGUAAGCUAAAAAUCCUCUCUUAAGUGUAAAUGUCCCAAAAGAACCAUAUAUAGCAAAAUGUUCCAGACAUUUGUGAAAAUGUUCCAGAAGAACCGAAUAAAGAUGUUCUGAAGACAUUUGUAAAAAGGUUCCAGAAAAACUGAAUACGAUGUCCUGAAGACAUUUGUGAAAAGGUUCCAAAAGAACCGAAUAAAGAUGUCCUAAAGACAUUUCUAAAAAGGUUCCAGAAGAACCAUAUAGAGAAAAUGUCCUGAAGACAUUUAUGAAAAGGUUCUAGAAGAACCAUACAAAGAUAUAUGUCCGUAAGAUAUAUAUGAAAGGGUUCCAUAAGAACCAUAUAAAGAGAUUCGUCCAGAAGAUGAGCGUGGCUGCACUCUUUUUCCCAUAUCAUGGUUUUUGUCCACAUAGGUUUUUCCAUGUCAAAGUUUUUAACGAGGCAGCAAGGAACACGCAAAAUAUAAAUCUCUAAAGAGGAAUACUUCUGAAAGAAGAAGUAUGAUGAUAUGCGUAGAUGCACUAUUUUUUCCUUACCAUGGUUUUUGUCCCACUGAUUUUCCAUGCUGAGGUUUUUAACGAUCAAAGAAUACGCAAAGGAUAGACAUCCAAGAGUUCAAACGAAAGUAUUAUAAUUUCAAUGACGUAGAAGUCCAGCCUUUUCUAUGAAAGAGAGAGACUCCAUUAUCUAAGCGUUCGAUAGAAAAGAAGAAUAUAUAUCUUUUCCAGGGGGAGCGUUACUGCAUAUUUUGUCAUAGUUUUUAUCCCUAAAGGGUUUUUCUAUUGUAAGGGUUUUUAAUGUGGCAGUACGCGACAUAUAUCGGUAGUGAUGGAUAAUCAAGAGGGGUGUUAUAAAAUAAUGAUUAUCCAUCUUACUUACUUUUACAUGAAGUAAGUUUGAGUUGGUGUUACCAACCUCUCCUACCAACCCCCAUAAGUAGAUAAUAUCUACUUACUAGUAUAAAUAGGUAUGUAAGCUUGUGAUUAAAAAAUAAGAUGGAGAAUGAAGUGAAUAAUAGAAAUCAGUUUCUCCUCCUUGCUCUCGUAUCUCUCCCCCUCUUCACGUACUCUCAAACUCUCUCUUUAUAUAUAUAAAAUAUAUAGAUGGAGAUGUAUAUAUAUAAUAAUUCACAACAUAUGGAGAUAUAUAUAUAUAUAAUAAUUUACAACAAGAAGAGAGAUAUUGUGAGGGAAGAUAAGUAAAACAGAUUUUUAUUAAAAAAAUACUAUUUUCUCUUUUAUCUUUUUUUAUUUCUUUUUCCUCCUAAAAUUCAUUCAUUCUUAGAUAUCAUUUUAAAUAAUAAAAUAUAUAAUAAUAUAUAUCUUAAAAAUAUAUAGAUUUUUUCUACACAUUUUAAACUCUGAAUUUUUUAAAAUGGACAACAUUUAAAAUGUUGUCAUUUAUUUAAGUUAUGUAGCCCUUCUAGCAAAACAGCUAUGGCGCCUGAUACAAUAUUCCUCAUCACUCUUGGCACGGGUCUUAAGAGGUAGAUAUUUUAACCGGUCCGACCCUCUGGAAGACCGGAACGUUUACUCACCAUCCUAUGGGUGGAGGAGUAUAAUGGCCGCAAAACCGUUUUUGAGGAUGAGACUGAGGAAGACAAUUGGAUCGGGCCUAAAUACGAGAGUUUGGAGCGAACCGUGGAUUCCUGACCUUAGAGCUCGGCCGCCUAGACUGGCCCCGCAUAUCGGAUUCCAAGAGCCGGGAACCCUGGUAUACUCUUUCAUCCGCCGAGACACCAAACAGUGGGAUAUUCACCUGCUUAGAGAAUUUUUCCAUCCUGAGGAUAUUCCCCUUAUCCUCGGGAUGCGACCUAGCCAGACCUGUACCUUGGAUGGAUACGCCUGGAAUCAUUCCAAAUCGGGAUUGUACUCGGUCAAGUCGGGAUAUGACCUAAUUAGAAGAACGAAGAUUGAACGAGAAGCUGGAGCGCUUAGGGAACCAAGCAUCACGGCCCUACAACGACAUGUUUGGAGAGUUCGUUCACCUGGGAAGAUGAAACACUUUAUGUGGCAAUCCUUAUCUGGGUGCGUGGCGACAUGCCAAAACCUCACAUACCGCCAUUUGGGUUCCGACAAACGCUGCCCCCGCUGUGGGGAUCCCGAGGAAACCAUAAACCACCUCCUGUUCUUAUGUCCCCCGGCAUUACAAGUCUGGGCGUUAUCGGACUUUCCGUCCCCUCCGGGUGUCUUCCCGAGUACCUCUAUUUACCAAAAUAUGAGCUUUCUCUUUUGGAAAACAAAAGAGCUAGGCAUGACGGAUCCCUCAAAGGAUAUUUAUCCUUGGAUCUUAUGGUUUAUUUGGAAAGCAAGGAAUGAGAAGAUCUUCAAAGGGAAAGAAAUUUCCCUGGUGGAUACAUGGAUACAAGCCAAAGUGGAAGCAGAAAGUUGGAGAGUUGCGAACCAACCUGAGGUCAGCGACGACGCUCAAGUUGAGGAAGUAGCCCUUCCACCGGAAUCCAUUGCGAUACCGGAGGUACCACAAACCCCUAUAUGCCGGAUUGACGCCUCUUGGAUCAAUCGCGGACAGGUUAGCGGCCUCGGAUGGAGCUUUGUGGAUGGCAGAGGAAAUGAACUUUUUGGACUACAGGGAUGCCGUAGAAGCCUCUCGGCCCUCCACGCCAAGAUGGAUUGCCUCCUGUGGGCUAUGUCCUGCUUGAGAGAGAGACAGAUACUCUCGGUUCACUUUAAAACUGACUGUUCGGAUCUGGUGCGUAUGACUGAGUCUCCAGCUGAUUGGCCGUCCUUUUAAGGCAGAGCUAGAUACUUUCCGCCUCCUCCAAGAGAGCUUCUCAGAGUGCACUUUAUCUCAUAUUCCGAGGGAUCUUAAUGUCCGGGCGGAUAGUCUUGCGAAAGGAGCUCGAACAAGAGGCGUUAUCUUUUCCCAUAUCGACCAUAACGAGCUCACCGAUGGUGGUCCACGGAUCACUUUUACGUUGGGCCAAAUGUGAUUGUAUUUGAUGGGCGGGGGAAAAAAAAAAUUAAGUUAUGUAUAGUUCAGUCAUGUAUACUUCAGUUUUAUAUUAAUUUAAACACAUAUUAUGAAGUAUAGACACAUGGUAUUUAACUGAAGGUUUUCACUUGACUUUCAGGUAUACAACUGUCAGGUAUUCACCUGAAAAAAUUCACUCAUGGUCUUCAAUCGAAGGUAUUCACCUGACUGGUGUACACCAAAUGGUAUACUUGAUAGUUAUACACCAAAUGGUGAAUACCUGAUAAGUGUACACCAAAUACUGGAUAUUUUUGAGUGAAUACCUGAUAGUUGUAUACUGAAUGGUGAAUACUUGAUAGUGGUACAACAAAUGAUGAAUACCUUAGAGUGAAUACCUUCGGGUGUUCACCAAAUGGUGAAUACCUUUAUUUGUACACUAAAUGAAUGAACAUCAAAUCGUGAAUACUUUGGGAUGAAUACUUUCACGUGAAUACCUUCAAGUGAAUACCUGAUAGUUGUACACCAAAUGGUGAAUAUUUUUGAGUGAAUACCUUCGAAUGUACACCAAAUGGUGAAUAACUUUAUAUUUGUGUAUAAUGCAAAAAAAUCAAGUAUUGUCCGCUUUAAAAAAUUCAAAUUUCAAUGUGUUAAGAAAUAUUUAUAAAUAAUUAAAUAUUUCAUUAUUAUAAAUAAUGUACAACAAUUUAUUCAAAAAAAUAAUAUAAAAAAGAAAGAGAAAAUAAUAGUAUUUAAAUAUACUGUUUUUCCCUUCUCUCACACUCUCUCUCACGCACUCUCUCUCUCACUCUCUCUCACUUUUUCUCUCUCUCUCUUGCUUUUGUCUAAUAAGGGCUGUAUUGCCAUUAAAAAAUUAUCACUGUUCAAAAACUACCAGAUUUAUACGUGAAUCCAAAAAUACACCCUUUUGACCAAUUAAAAACUUAAAACUACUUUAUUUGCCAAGAAACUCUUUAAAAUAUGUGUUUUUAACCUAAAUUUGCAUGCAGAUCUAAUUUAUUUUUAUAUAAUAUUUUUUAAGGUUCAAAAAAAUGUUAAUGGAGAGCUAGGUGUUUGAUAAGGGUCUAGUGUCUAUAAUGACUAAUCGAAGCUUAAACCUCGGCUAGACAUUAAUAUAUUAUUUAAUUAUAUUUAUUUAUAAGUAAAUAUAUUUAUAAUUUUAUAAUAACACAUAACCCUAUAAAAUAGAAAAAUAAUAAACUUCUUCACUUAUUCAAAUCCCAAAAACUUAAGAUAAUGUGUAUAAAAUUAUAAACAAAUCUAAAUUCUUAAAAACCAAAGUGGUAUUCAAGUAAAAAUAAUAAUAACUAAAAACACUAAGAUUAAAAACUUAAUAAAAAAAUCUACUAAACCUCUUCUUCAUCAAGAAUUUCCAUAUCCACCACUUUCUUGUAUCAAAAUUAAAUCCAGUAUCAAUAGGAAUAUCAUGUCCCUCAUCAGAAUCAAGAUCUUCUCUAAGAUCAUCACUUGGGAGCUUGAUAAUUAGGUUCAUCACUACUCUCUUCUCCUGUUUGACUUGGCUCCACAACUUGGCUCCACAAGCCAAUCUUAUGUAUUCCUUUCAUUGCCAUCAUCUAAUAUCAUAUCAAUAUUUUUUUCUCUGAUAUUUUUUUGUUUUGUGAACAAUUGGGCAUUGAAUUGAACAUAAACUAGAUUAUUAUGUUGAUUGACAUCUAGUCAAUUUUUUUAGGUAUAAAUCUGCAAACACAAUAUAACAUUAAAUGGAUGUUAAAAAACCCAAAACAGAAAAAUAACUUCAACGAAGUAAGCAUUAACCCCUUCAAAUAUACUCCAAUGUCUUUCACAACUGGAUGAGCUCGAGGUCAAAGAAAAAAUCUUUAUUGCAAAUCUGUGCAGAACAGGGACAUGCAAAUCAUAUAUUGACCACCGAUUUUCUAAAUAUGUAAGUCAAAUUAAUAAAACAUGAGUCAUCUUUAUUGCUAUUCAGAUUUUAAAAAAUACCUGGAUAAAACUUCUCAUCAUUUUUUUGGCAUCCUCUCUAUGCUAAACCUCUCCCAAAAGCACUCAUUAAACUCAUCGUUGAUAACUUUGUAUUGUUCUUCAUAAUCACCAUUGUAAAAAUGUCUCAACACAAUUGAAAAAUCCAUCAAUUAGCAUCUGAUCGUGCUCAAUGGUGGAAUCAUUGUAGAAGUAGAAUGGAUUUAAUAAGUAAGAGCUCAUGUGCAACGGAGAAAUCAAUCUACUUUUUAUUUUCUCAUCAGUGAUCUCGAAUAUAGGCUGGUAUUUUCUCUCCAAAUCACUAGAGGCCAACUUAAUCUUACUUUUUGCUUCCAAGAGCUCUCCAAAACUAAAAUCCAUUGAAGGCUUAUUUUCUUCAUUAGUAAUUCUAAUAAGUUCACCAAAAUUUUAAAAACCUUCAACACAAAUUUCAAAUAAUUCCAAAAUGCAUAACUCAUAAUUGUUGAGAUACUAUUUCUCCCAUUUGCACUCUUUGAAUGUUUACAGUUAUUCCAUUCUUCAGUGGUGAACAUUGUUUUUAGUUGUGUUUUUUUCUCUCACAAGCUUUGUAAUGUCAAGAAAUUGGUAGCAAAUCUUGCUAUUCCUGGCCGCACGAUAUCCCUCUUUAUGAUCUCUUGUCAUUGCUAAGGUUUUAUGAUGAGCGUAGAUAAAAAUGGUAAGAUCAUUAGCCUGAUCAAUUACUCUAGUAAACUUAGGCAGCUUUGAAAUACCUUCAAGCAUCAGAUCAACUGUAUGAGCAAUACAACCUGUCCAAAAAAUAUUCAGCUUGUUCUCUUUAAGAUUCUUUUAUGCUGCCACAUUAUUGAGAGAAAUAUCAGUUACCACUUGAAUGACAUUCUCAGCUCAAACAUUUGCAAUGCAUUGAUCAACAUAGUCCAUAGUGAGAAUCUAUGGAAACAUCUUUCACAGAUAUAAGAACAUGUUCCUCCUCUAGAAUUAAUACACAUUCAUUAUGUUCUUGUUUUUCCUAUUAGUCCAUACAAUUGUCAUUAUAGAACAGCUUGAGUGUUCUCAUUCUGACUCUUGCCUCUUUAAUUGUGUCUUAAUUCUUUCUUGUUCCUCUUUCAAAAAUGAUUCCAUUAGUUGGUAUUGAGUUGGAAGAACCCAACCAGGUUCAAAUUUGCCCAGAACCUCAUAAAAUAGUUUAAAACAAACAUUAACAAUGGCAUUGAAAGGUAUAUCUGACUGAUACAUUCACCUAUGAUAACACCGUAUUUUGAUCACUUUUGUGGAUCAUUAAAAAUAUUUUUUCAAUGCUUUUUAUUUCUUUUAAGUGUUUUAUUAUGGUUUUCUAGUAUUUGUAGUUUCAAAACUCUUUUCAGGAAACUUAGGAAAAAGUUUAGCAAAAUAGAAAGAAGACUAGAUUUUUAACUCAGAGUCAAACCGUCAGAAGUUAAACAUCAAAUGAAAACCUUCUCACUAUCUGAUCCAGCUCAAAUCUGGAGACCUUAAAUAUGGAACAGUCAGUUUUCCAGCACACUUGACACCAAGACAAUCCAACGGUUCAAUCAAAAGUUACUCGAAGAGAAAGAUGUCCCGUUAACCAGCCAGCAACCAAUCCUGACCGCGGCCAGCACCCAUUUUACACUGGUCAGGUCUCCUCUGAACGUGGAGAAUGGUCUGUUCGGCCUAGAAGCUCAUCUCCAACCCCAAAUUGAUUCCUUCAUUUGGAGAAACCCUAAGUGACGUCCAGAAAUGCCUUGAGCACUAUAAAUACAUGUUUUAGGAACCCUAAGUCGUAUGCUCUUUCAUGUUUCAGAAUACCUUUUAAGUUUUUUAGUAUUUUUGAGUUGUUUUAGGUUUAGGGAGAUAGAGAUCUAUCUCUUGAACCCCUUUUGUUUCUUUUUCAAUAUCGAUUUCUAUUCAGUUUUUCAAUACAAUGUUUUUGCUUUGUUUAAUCAUGUCUGAGUAGUUCUAUUGUUGGGUUUAAGGGAUUUUCGAUGGGGGCCAUAUAUGUUUGAUAAGGAUUCCAUUAGCUAUUAAAGCCAAAUCCUAAAACUUUUUCUUCUAAACUUAUUUUUAAUGCAUGGGAGUAGCUGAUGCGGUGUGGGUGUGUGUCAAGUUUUACCCUAAAUGAAAUCAAUAGCCGCAAGUGCACAGCUGAUCGAUUGUAGUACUUAGGGAUCGAAUCCACAGGGAAGGAGGAUCUUUCCUGCAAAAGCCUUUGAAAGAAAUGUAAAGUAAGGAAGUCUAGAACCAGGCGAUUUUUGUAGGGGUUUUGGUGGUGUCUUUAAAAUGUAAAAAGUAAUCUUAAUGGGAAAAUACGGGAAAUAAAAUGACUUAAUAACUAAACUUAAAGAAAUCGACUAAAAACGAGAAAACGGCUAGACCUAAUUGCUUGUAUGAAAAUCGGCUGAAUGAGUAAAAUACUAGACUAAAAACUUGAAUGAAAAAUCAGUGUAAAUCUAUAGAAAAGAGGCACUGAGUUUCCAGGGAAAUUUUCUCCGGGGAUGAAUAAUUCAAAACAUUGCUAAAGAGUAAAUUAAAAAGAUCCUAGCUAAAACUUUUAGAACUCGAGUCACGAACGUAUGAUCAUGAAUACGCCACUGUCAUGAUCAUAACCAAUUAUCUCUCUCAACCCUAACAAGUAGGUUUCCACUCUGGCCCUGGAAGAGUGAAGAUGCAGUAUCCUUAAGACUCCUCAACAUUCACAGCUCACCCAUAGGUAGAUUUCCACUCCUAUGGUCGAUCUGCUCUUCCCGAACUAGAUCUGGCGCCGAGUGAAAACUUUUGCAACACCCAAGACCUAGAUCAGAUUGUAGUUCAUGACGCUAAUCACAUGCAUUAAAAAUAAAUUUAGAAGAAAAAGUUCUAGGAUUCGGCUUCAAUAGCUAAUAGAAUCCUCAUUGAACAUAUAUAGCCUCCAUCGAAAAUCCCUUAAACCUAACAAUAAAACUACUCAGACAUGAUGAAUAAAAGCAAAACAUUAAAAAGGCUGAGUAGAAAUCGAUAUGAUAGAAGAACGAAGAGGGUUCAAGAGACAGAUAUCUAUCUCUCUAAACCUAAAAACUAAGAAAUAUGAAAGACAAAAACUUAAAAGCUGCAAAAAGAAUAAAUUUUAUGUGUCUCUCUCGUCUAGGGCUCCUAAAAACAUGUAUUUAUAGUGUCCAAGUCUUCACUUAGGGUUUUUUAAAUGAGGAAAUCAUUCUGGGCUUGAAAAUGGGCUUCGGGGUCGGACAAACCAUUCUCCGCGGUUGGGAAGGUCGGGACCGUGGUGAAAUGGCUAUUGGCCACGGGUAGGAUUGCUUGCCGGCUGGUUUACGAGACAUCUUGCUCUUUGCGUAACUUUUGAUUGAACCGUUGGAUUGCCAUUUUGUAAAGUGUGCUGGAAAUCUGGUAGUUCCAUCUUUAAGUUCUCCAAAAUUAAGCUGGAUUAAACGGUGAAAAAGUCUUCAUUUGGGGGUGAACUUCUGACGGUUUGACUCUGAGCUGAGAUCUGGUCUUCUAUCCAUUUUGUUAAGCUUUUACCUAAAUUUCCUGAAAAGAGUCUUGGAACUACAAAUACUAGAAAAACAUAAUAAAAACGCUUGAAAGCAAUAAAAACAUAGAAAAAGUAUUUCAAAACGAUCCAUAAAAGUGGUCAAAAUAUAGUGUUAUCAGUAGUGUCAUGAACUAUAUUCUUAUUUUCGUAGUGUUGCGAAAUGUAUAUCCGCUUAAUAAUUCACAUGCCUGUUGAUACAUAUACCUUUAUUUGGCAUAUGGAGGAACAAAAUGUUUAGGGCAAUAUUGGAUAUCACUCUCCAUGAUUCUUGAGGCCCACUGUAAAAAUAAGAGAAUCAUGGUCUGUGCGGCCCCUGCUGCACAAUACUUUAUACUUUUCUUCGAUCAGAUCGUAUUCUAAAUAAAAACUUUUAAAUGAGUAUCCGGGGUUGGGUAAGAUAAUAUGUUGUCUCAUGUAGGAUUCCAAACCACAAUCUCCCUACAAAAAAUCUCCACAACACAUCAAUCUGUGGACCGACUCAGAAUUAUACGAUUGGUAAGAAUCAUCAUACGAUUUGUCUCAUAACUUUUUUGUGAUGAGAGUAACAUGUGUCGAGGUGUUUAUGUUGAAGGCAGUGAUGUAAAUAUACGCUUAUUUUUUGAUUCGACCCACAGCAGAAAACAAAGCCGUAUUAAAGACUAUUCGUGAACGACCUGAUGAAAUCUGGACGAGUGGUGAUGGUCGACCAUAGCUUCAAGAUGCCAUGGAACCUCACAGUAGGCUCUCAAGAGUAUAUCAGGAAUAAGAUUAAGAGGAAUCAGCUCUAUAAACUUCUCAUUACUCUCCUCCUUUUUAGAUUGUAUUAUUUUCUCCCCAUCUUCCGCUUCUUCUUCUGUUCUCUCCAUCAACGAUCAACAUUUUAAAAGUUUGAAUAUACCUAAUUUGUUGUCCACAUCUCUGUUUGAUCAUUUUUUGUAAGCUCUAAUUUGGGGGAGAACUGUAUUAUACAAUUAAUGGUACAGCAUAAAUUGUG